UUUCAUGUUCUCCUCUCAUAAUAUACUCAAGAACUUUUGAAGCUAUCCUCUGAAUUUCAUGACAUGCAUUCUCCCUUCAAGAACAACUGCUAAAACAUUUGUGAAGCGAGAGCUCCACCAGAAUCUGCCGUCUAAAGAUAAUCUCUUCUGCCUUAACCUGGCAGCCACCACUCCCCAUCAUCACCUCAUCAUCACUGGUGACUAGGGAGAGAGCCCCCUGGACGCAACAGACGCAGACGUGUCUGAGCAUUUCUGCAAAUGGAGGAAUCCGAGCUAGGAGGAAUCGGUUUGAGACGGGGGAGUCUUUAGGCGAAGUAAGAGAAGUGAAGCUCACCGUUUCUUCUGAUAAAAAUACCCUGGGCAGCGAGUGAGAAGGGGAACAGCCAGCAAGUGCGGUCCCCCUUGCCCGGUGAGGUCCCCUCUUCCUCCUAUUCCUGACUCUCCUGCCUCCGAGGGGGCACCUGGAGCCACAGGGGCAGAGCCUUUAACAGGAACGCAAGAGAGCUGCCUGGCUCAGAGGUCAGCAGGACUCUGGGAAAUCUGAAAGACAUAAAACAAGGGUAGACCUUUUUGCCCCCGAUGGGAGAUGAAGCCAGAACAGAUUUGAGAAAUCCCAGUAGGGAGUGAAACCUUGGCACGGCUGGCGCUCCGGCACACCAGCAGCGUCCGGGACGUUUCCGGCCACAGGGUGCAGCUGAGUGACCCCAGCUGGCCUCGGCGUGUCAGAGGCUGCAUCCUCUGAACAUACAUUCAUCAGCAGCCUACACCCACACCCACAGGCAGCCCCCGACGGCCUGUGCAUCCUCGGCCGCUGGGGGAAUGAGGAAAGCACGCGGCGGCCUGGUGGCCGAGAGAACGGACUGUGAGCUCUUCUGGGAAUUUCGGGGAACACCCAGGAGUCGUUGGGAGACAUCUGGAGGGUCCACAGAGGCAGGAAGAAAAGGAACAUGUCAGUGGAGAAGAGGCCAAGGGAGACCUCUGUGUAGGAGAUCCCAGGGAAGGAUGGGCACCGGGGUGGAUUGUGAAGUUGUGUCCACAGGGACACGCUUUCUGACAAUGAAAGAAGAAAAUGUCAAUAGUACUGAGGAGAGAAGAACCAAGAUACUUUCAACAGGAAAAUGUCAAGCUGGUGAUUCUUAAGACAAGUACACACACACUUAAAACUGUAACCAGAACAUCAGACCGUUUGUAUGAAGGAUGGGGAAGAAUAGCGUGUGACUUCUAAGCUGAUUCAACUCUGUCCGACUCUUUGAGACCCUAUGGACUGUAGCCUGCCAGGCUCUGUCCAUGAGAUUCUCCAGGCNNNNNNNNNNNNNNNNNNNNNNNNNNNNNNNNNNNNNNNNNNNNNNNNNNNNNNNNNNNNNNNNNNNNNNNNNNNNNNNNNNNNNNNNNNNNNNNNNNNGCCUGCCAGGCUCUGUCCAUGAGAUUCUCCAGGCAAGAAUACUGGAGUGGCAUUGCCAUGCCCUCCUCCAGGGGAUCUUCCCAGCCCAGGGAUUGAACACAUGUCUCCUGCGUUGGCAGGAGGGUUCUUAACCACUAAGCACCACCUGGGAAGCCUGGGAAGUAUAGUACAUAGUCCUAAAGGCCUGGUUUGAGCUACUCAAACAGACACAGAGAAUUCAAAAGAGCAAAUAGCUCACAUUAAAACAGUGUGUUCACCUCCUGCAGAACCCACAGGGCAGUGGAAACUUGGAGUGGAUCCCGUUUAAUUCAUUUCCUUAUGUAUUAGCUAUCUAUUGUCACAUAAUAAAUUACUCCAAUGGAUAAUGAUUUAAAACAACACAGAUAUAUUACUAACAGUUUCUUUGGGUCAAAUAUUCAGCAGAAGCUCAACCAGUGGUUCUAGCUCAGGGUCUCAUGAGGUUGCAGGCAAGAUAUUAGCCCAGGCUGUAGUUAUCUGAAGGCUUGACUGAGGCUAGAAGAUCUGCCUCCAAGAUUUCUCACUCCAAAGAACUCACCUAUGGACCUCUCCAAUAGAGCUGCUUGAGAGUUCUCGUAAUGGGCAGCUGGAUUCUCCCAGACUGAGUGGUCCAAGGGAGCAGAGCAGAAGUCACAAAUGAACAACCUUGACUACAAAGACACACUCAAUCAGUUCUACAAUACCAUAUUGGUUAUAUAAGUCACUUUUCCAAAGUGGGAGGAAACCGCACAAGGACUUGAAUACCAAGGGGCUAGAAUCAUUGAGGACUGUCUGGAGAGAUGGCUCCAUGCUCAGCUCCACCCGAGAUGUAAGCUGACAGGCAUCUCAGCCAAGGGUCCUUUUCUCUCUCCCUCCUCCCACAGCCUCUGAUUCUCUUUAUGCCCCUUUUCUCCUCAUGCUCAUCUGCUUCAACCAGACCCACAGAGUCUGUCACUGGAUAUCUCCUUAUUCAGAUCCUUAAUGUUUCAUUGCCACAUCAUUCCAGAGCUUUCCAUCGCUGAGAGCAGAAGAGAAGGGAAAACAAUUUUUCACUGAGAUCAGUCUUUCAGAAUCUCAGUACAAAGCCAUUAUCAACUUCAUAUGGCCAAGAUACUACUUCCAGUGUAUCUCCUACACUUGAUAAUGCUAAAGAACAUCUGUCUCCUCCUCGAAUCAAAUUUCAAAAGACACCCUGUUUUCUUGGCCUCAAUAUGAGUCAGGCUCCAGGUUGGAUGGGGGAGGGGUUGUGGAAUGAGGAAGGGGGAAAAGGAAACAAAAACCAUAUAACUAUGCAACAGUUGCAAUACAAAAAUUACUAGUAAAUUAUUCCUUUGACUACAUCUUACCUGAUAAAAUAUAUACUCUCCAAAUGCAAACAGUGUCUACUUCUUUGCCACUUUAAUCCUAGUACCGGCCACAGUGUCUGACACAUAAUAGAUACUCUGUUAAUCAUUUAGUAUAAAAUAGGCAGCCCACCCAGUCUUCUAAGCCUGUUAGACACUCUGCCAGCCCCAGUUCCCCUGACUUGCACUUUCUCUUAAGGCUUGUCUGCAUCCUGCCAUAUCUUCAAAACUCACCCCUUCUAAAAUAAAUCCUCCUUCUUGAAUUAUCUGGUGAAAGCUGCCUGGUUUUUGUUGUGGUUAAGUGGUCUCCUAGAGAAGAAAUGUGACCAUCCACAGCCAGCCUCACCCUUUUCCCUCCCUCAGGGGAGAGCACCCCUGACAAGAUAGCACCGAGACAGGAGAGCUUUGUUUUAUUUCUCUCUGAAUCUUUUGCAGGGAACAUAGCAUUCACCACAAGUAACAAGUCCCUAGGAAAUGUUUUGUGGGAACUGAACCAGACCACUCCUCCCCUCUCCCCACACUCAAGCUGUGAUAACUGGUAGGUCCCCAUCCCAGCAUAAGAAUGAUAAUAUGAAAGGUUCUUCCUAAAAAAAAUUAGAGAGUGAGAGAGAAAGACUGUGCUGUGAACUCUACACUUCCACCAGAUACAAGCCAUGGAAGGUCCCUGAAGGAAGGCAUCCUCCAUAUUUAUAACACAAAAUCAUCGUUGGCUAGGAUCACUUGGUAGUCAAAAAGCAGGGCUGACUUUCUCCUUUUUUUUGUUUUAAACGUGUUGAACAGCCUCUAUUUUCCUUGUGUAGUAGGCAGAGCUAGGUAUAAGGGUUAACUGUUAUGCUCCGAGCCCGUAUCUCCGAACCGACCGAGAGAGCAAGUCC
This 3617-nucleotide long non-coding RNA is filed under the name Capra hircus (goat). Its description in RNAcentral is "lncRNA (ENSCHIG00010015442.1)". Lineage: Eukaryota; Metazoa; Chordata; Mammalia; Artiodactyla; Bovidae. The record is from RNAcentral.